This 92-nucleotide transfer RNA is filed under the name Yersinia phage phiR2-01. Its description in RNAcentral is "Yersinia phage phiR201 tRNA-Pseudo-GCT". It matches the Rfam family "tRNA". Rfam says of the family: Transfer RNA (tRNA) molecules are approximately 80 nucleotides in length. Their secondary structure includes four short double-helical elements and three loops (D, anti-codon, and T loops). Further hydrogen bonds mediate the characteristic L-shaped molecular structure. tRNAs have two regions of fundamental functional importance: the anti-codon, which is responsible for specific mRNA codon recognition, and the 3' end, to which the tRNAs corresponding amino acid is attached (by aminoacyl-tRNA synthetases). tRNAs cope with the degeneracy of the genetic code in two manners: having more than one tRNA (with a specific anti-codon) for a particular amino acid; and 'wobble' base-pairing, i.e. permitting non-standard base-pairing at the 3rd anti-codon position. The record is from RNAcentral. RNAcentral also lists the same sequence under 2 other names. Lineage: Duplodnaviria; Heunggongvirae; Uroviricota; Caudoviricetes; Demerecviridae.
GGAAGAUUAACCCUAAUUGGUAAGGGAGCAUCUUGCUAAGUUGCCAGUAGCUGUGGAAACACGGUGUAUCGGUUCAAGUCCGAUAUCUUCCU